UCGCGCAUCUUGUUGUUUGGUUAUUGAUUUUUCGCAGAACCAUUUGAUCACAUGACAAGAUGCGCAUCUA
Molecule: antisense RNA, 70 nt
Filed under: Shewanella fodinae
Lineage: Bacteria; Pseudomonadati; Pseudomonadota; Gammaproteobacteria; Alteromonadales; Shewanellaceae
Description: RNA-OUT
Rfam family: RNA-OUT
About the family: Transposition of insertion sequence IS10 is regulated by an anti-sense RNA which inhibits transposase expression when IS10 is present in multiple copies per cell.
Source: Rfam by way of RNAcentral